AACGAACGCUGGCGGCAGGCUUAACACAUGCAAGUCGAACGCCCCGCAAGGGGAGUGGCAGACGGGUGAGUAACGCGUGGGAAUCUACCGUGCCCUGCGGAAUAGCUCCGGGAAACUGGAAUUAAUACCGCAUACGCCCUACGGGGGAAAGAUUUAUCGGGGUAUGAUGAGCCCGCGUUGGAUUAGCUAGUUGGUGGGGUAAAGGCCUACCAAGGCGACGAUCCAUAGCUGGUCUGAGAGGAUGAUCAGCCACAUUGGGACUGAGACACGGCCCAAACUCCUACGGGAGGCAGCAGUGGGGAAUAUUGGACAAUGGGCGCAAGCCUGAUCCAGCCAUGCCGCGUGAGUGAUGAAGGCCUUCGGGUUGUAAAGCUCUUUUGGCGGGGACGAUGAUGACGGUACCCGCAGAAUAAGCCCCGGCAAACUUCGUGCCAGCCGCCGCCGUAA
This 447-nucleotide ribosomal RNA is filed under the name uncultured bacterium. RNAcentral describes it as "partial 16S ribosomal RNA". It matches the Rfam family "Bacterial small subunit ribosomal RNA", at positions 29 to 523 of the family's 1533-position model. The record is from RNAcentral.